GUAGGGGGCAAGCGUUAUCCGGAUUUACUGGGUGUAAAGCGCACGCAGGCGGUCUGUCAAGUCGGAUGUGAAAUCCCCGGGCUCAACCUGGGAACUGCAUUCGAAACUGGCAGGCUAGAGUCUUGUAGAGGGGGGUAGAAUUCCAGGUGUAGCGGUGAAAUGCGUAGAGAUCUGGAGGAAUACCGGUGGCGAAGGCGGCCCCCUGGACAAAGACUGACGCUCAGGUGCGAAAGCGUGGGGAGCAAACAGGAUUAGAUACCCUGGUAGUCCACGCCGUAAACGAUGUCGAUUUGGAGGUUGUGCCCUUGAGGCGUGGCU
RNAcentral lists this ribosomal RNA (318 nucleotides) under uncultured bacterium. Its description in RNAcentral is "bacterial SSU rRNA". It matches the Rfam family "Bacterial small subunit ribosomal RNA", at positions 527 to 844 of the family's 1533-position model. The record is from RNAcentral.